UUCCCACUGAGAGGAACGUGGCUGCAUAGU
Molecule: non-coding RNA, 30 nt
Filed under: Homo sapiens (human)
Lineage: Eukaryota; Metazoa; Chordata; Mammalia; Primates; Hominidae
Source: RNAcentral